RNAcentral lists this long non-coding RNA (486 nucleotides) under Bos taurus (domestic cattle). Its description in RNAcentral is "long non-coding RNA NONBTAT009726". Lineage: Eukaryota; Metazoa; Chordata; Mammalia; Artiodactyla; Bovidae. The record is from RNAcentral.
UAGAGCAAUAAAACCCACUGGAUUAAAGAACUCUUGGUUUGAUUUCAGGACUAUAAUUCACAUCAUAAUUUGAGAAGAUUUUGAACUAAUCUGUCGUGUUUGGACCUCAGGAAAAAUUAAAACGGGGAAAAUUCUGUGUUGUGGAAGGAUUUUGCAGUCCUCUGUUAGUAAUGUCCAUUGAUUAGGUAGAUGCAUUCAGUUAAUCCAUAAUCCUUGUUUUUUUCCUUAAUGAAGUAUCCAGUGUAGAAGGUACUUCUCUUUGUUUUCUGAGAAAUAUCUGAAUGAACCCCUCUUUCCCAUCCCACUUGAAACAGACCUCUUCCCUUAUAAAAGAAAUAAGGAAGGCUAAUCAGAAAGUGUGGUUUUUAAGAAAAAAAUUUAAUUUUAGCCUUUUCACUAGGAAAUAGUCACAUUAACUGCUCCUAUUUGUUUCCUUUUGUUUAAACUGAGGUUUUGGAAUAUUUUGUGUGAGUAGGUAACCUCUAG